Molecule: ribosomal RNA, 468 nt
Filed under: uncultured bacterium
Lineage: Bacteria
Description: partial 16S ribosomal RNA
Rfam family: Bacterial small subunit ribosomal RNA
Source: RNAcentral
GACGAACGCUGGCGGCGUGCUUAACACAUGCAAGUCGAACGGAAAGGCCCUGCUUUUGUGGGGUGCUCGAGGGGCGAACGGGUGAGUAACACGUGAGUAACCUGCCCUUGACUUUGGGAUAACUUCAGGAAACUGGGGCUAAUACCGGAUAGGAGCUCCUGCUGCAUGGUGGGGGGUGGAAAGUUUCGGCGGUUGGGGAUGGACUCGCGGCUUAUCAGCUUGUUGGUGGGGUAGUGGCUUACCAAGGCUUUGACGGGUAGCCGGCCUGAGAGGGUGACCGGCCACAUUGGGACUGAGAUACGGCCCAGACUCCUACGGGAGGCAGCAGUGGGGAAUAUUGCACAAUGGGCGGAAGCCUGAUGCAGCAACGCCGCGUGCGGGAUGACGGCCUUCGGGUUGUAAACCGCUUUCGCCUGUGACGAAGCGUGAGUGACGGUAAUGGGUAAAGAAGCACCGGCUAACUACGUG